UUUUGCUUGUGCGGCAGACAAUUAGUCUAGCCUCCGCACAAAAAGCUUCACAACAUUGAUUUCUCAUCUAAAAUACUUCGCAGUGAGGAGUUUUGUGUGAAUUUUUUGCUAUAAUGCCCUCUUGGCGGCAAAUAAUUGUCGCCCAAAAAAUAACAAGGAGCUAUUAUGAAUUAUAUUUAUGAUAAAGAAAGUAAUAAAUAUUAUAGCAAGAAUGGUAGAGAGUUACGCGGUUGUGCUAGAGAUAAUUGUGAAAUCCAUAGGCUUGGUGGCUGGAAUAAUGUAAGUGGUUCUAUUGCCAUUAUGUUGGAAACAAUUAAAAUACAGGAUAAGCAAAUUCGUGACCUAAAGGUUGUAUUAAAUUCGGUUUUAGUAUCGAAUCUCUCUCAAACUCAAAACUUCAAGAAAUUCUAGGAUUGUGCGUAAGAUUUAAGGGUUGUGCAGAAAAAUCUGCGGAGACUAGCCUAGUGGCUGUCGCACAAAGAUUUUUCAAACUCCCUUAAAGAUUGCGUGCAAGCUGAAUUUACCUUAAUAUUCAGAUGAGCCUACAAGGGUGAUGGACUGCCUUUUGCAUAAUGAUCCUGCGAGUUGUGGUAUCUGGCAAGGUUAAACUAAUGUGAAGCCGUAGCGAAAGCGAGUCUGAAAGGGCGAUUAAGUCAGAUGCUGCAGACCCGAAGCUGAGUGAUCUAUCCAUGGCCAAGUUGAAAGUGGGGUAACACCCACCGGAGGACUGAACUCGUACCCAUUGAAACGGGUUGGGAUGAGCUGUGGAUAGGGGUGAAAGGCCAAUCAAACUCAGUGAUAGCUGGUUCUCUUCGAAAUAUAUUUAGGUAUAGCCUCAAGUGAUAGUAAUAGGGGGUAGAGCUCUGAUUGGGCUAGGGCUGCUCACCGCGGUACCAACCCCUGUCAAACUACGAAUACCUAUUACCGUAUCUUGGGAGUCAGGCGGUGGGUGAUAAAAUCAAUCGUCUAAAGGGGAACAACCCAGACUACCAACUAAGGUCCCAAAGUUCUAUUCUAAGUGGAAAAAGAUGUGAAGUUACUUAGACAACCAGGAGGUUGGCUUAGAAGCAGCCAUCCUUUAAAGAUAGCGUAACAGCUCACUGGUCUAGUGAUUUUGCGCUGAAAAUAUAACGGGGCUAAGAUAGACACCGAAGUUGUAGAUUGUGCUGAUGCACAGUGGUAGAAGAGCGUUCACAUCAGCGUUGAAGCCAUACCGGUAAGGAGUGGUGGAGCGGUGUGAAGUGAGCAUGCAGGAAUGAGUAGCGAUAAAAGUGGUGAGAAUCCACUUCGCCGUAAAUCUAAGGUUUCCUACGCUAUGCUCGUCAUCGUAGGGUUAGUCGGGUCCUAAGACAAGUCCGAAAGGGGUAGUCGAUGGAAAAUUGGUUAAUAUUCCAAUACCAACAUUAGUGUGCGAUGGAGGGACGCAUAGGGUCAAGACAAGUUAGCCGAUAGAAAUGCUAGCCGAAGGGUGCAAGUUAGGAGAUUGGCAAAUCCGCUCCCGUAUCCCAAACCCAACAGGCCCUUUGAAGUCUUCGGAUGGAUAGGGGAAUUGUUAAGAUCGUCGUGCCAAGAAAAGCUUCUAAGUUUAGCUAAUGUUGCCCGUACCGCAAACCGACACAGGUAGAUGAGAUGAGUAUUCUAAGGCGCGUGAAAGAACUCUCUUUAAGGAACUCUGCAAACUAACACCGUAAGUUCGCGAUAAGGUGUGCCUAAGCAAUUAGGUCUCAGCAAAGAGUCCCUCCCGACUGUUUACCAAAAACACAGCACUUUGCCAACUCGUAAGAGGAAGUAUAAGGUGUGACGCCUGCCCGGUGCUCGAAGGUUAAGAGGAUUAGUCAGCAGCAAUGUGAAGCUUUGAAUUGAAGCCCGAGUAAACGGCGGCCGUAACUAUAACGGUCCUAAGGUAGCGAAAUUCCUUGUCGGUUAAAUACCGACCUGCAUGAAUGGCGUAACGAGAUGGGAGCUGUCUCAAAGAGUGAUUCAGUGAAAUUGUAGUGGAGGUGAAAAUUCCUCCUACCCGCGGCAAGACGGAAAGACCCCGUGGACCUUUACUACAGCUUGGCACUGCCGAUGGGAGCAUUAUGCGCAGCAUAGGUGGGAGGCUAUGAAAUCUUUACUCUGGUAGAGAUGGAGCCACCGUUGAGAUACCACCCUUAAUGUUUCUGUCUGCUAACUAGCUUGAGUUAUCCUCAAGUAGGACAAUGCCUGGUGGGUAGUUUGACUGGGGCGGUCGCCUCCUAAAAAGUAACGGAGGCUUGCAAAGGUUGGCUCAAAAUGGUUGGAAAUCAUUUGUAGAGUGUAAUGGCAUAAGCCAGCCUGACUGUAAGACAAACAAGUCAAGCAGAGACGAAAGUCGGUCAUAGUGAUCCGGUGAUUCUGUGUGGAAGGGUCAUCGCUCAAAGGAUAAAAGGUACCCCGGGGAUAACAGGCUGAUCUCCCCCAAGAGCUCACAUCGACGGGGAGGUUUGGCACCUCGAUGUCGGCUCAUCGCAUCCUGGGGCUGGAGCAGGUCCCAAGGGUAUGGCUGUUCGCCAUUUAAAGCGGUACGCGAGCUGGGUUCAGAACGUCGUGAGACAGUUCGGUCCCUAUCUGCCGUGGGCGUAGGAAAGUUGAGGAGAUCUGUCCCUAGUACGAGAGGACCGGGAUGGACAUACCACUGGUGUAGCUGUUGUCCUGCUAUGGGCAUCGCAGCGUAGCUACGUAUGGAUGUGAUAAACGCUGAAAGCAUCUAAGCGUGAAGCCAACUCCAAGAUGAACUUUCCCUGAAGGUCGCAGGAAGACUACCUGCUUGAUAGGGUAGGGGUGUAAGCAUAGUAAUAUGUUUAGCUGACUACUACUAAUAGACCGUUUGGCUUAAUA
RNAcentral lists this ribosomal RNA (2859 nucleotides) under Helicobacter pullorum. RNAcentral describes it as "bacterial LSU rRNA". The stretch from base 427 to 2859 matches the Rfam family "Bacterial large subunit ribosomal RNA". Lineage: Bacteria; Pseudomonadati; Campylobacterota; Epsilonproteobacteria; Campylobacterales; Helicobacteraceae. The record is from RNAcentral.